RNAcentral lists this ribosomal RNA (403 nucleotides) under uncultured bacterium. Its description in RNAcentral is "partial 16S ribosomal RNA". It matches the Rfam family "Bacterial small subunit ribosomal RNA", at positions 30 to 526 of the family's 1533-position model. The record is from RNAcentral.
AUUGAACGCUGGCGGCAGGCCUAACACAUGCAAGUCGAGCGAGCGGCGGACGGGUGAGUAAUGUAUGGGGACUGCCCGAUAGAGGGGGAUAACUACUGGAAACGGUGGCUAAUACCGCAUACUAUCGGAUAACCCAUAUGGGAUUAGCUAGUAGGUGGGGUAAAGGCUCACCUAGGCGACGAUCUCUAGCUGGUCUGAGAGGAUGAUCAGCCACACUGGGACUGAGACACGGCCCAGACUCCUACGGAGGCAGCAGUGGGGAAUAUUGCGCAAUGGGGGCAACCCUGACGCAGCCAUGCCGCGUGAAUGAAGAAGGCCUUCGGGUUGUAAAGUUCUUUCGGUAGCGAGGCGUUAACUACAGAAGAAGCACCGGCUAACUCCGUGCCAGCAGCCGCGGUAAUAC